AUUGAACGCUGGCGGCAUGCCUUACACAUGCAAGUCGAACGGCAGCACGGGAGCAAUCCUGGUGGCGAGUGGCGAACGGGUGAGUAAUAUAUCGGAACGUGCCCAGUCGUGGGGGAUAACGUAGCGAAAGCUACGCUAAUACCGCAUACGAUCUAUGGAUGAAAGCGGGGGAUCGCAAGACCUCGCGCGAUUGGAGCGGCCGAUAUCAGAUUAGGUAGUUGGUGAGGUAAAGGCUCACCAAGCCGACGAUCUGUAGCUGGUCUGAGAGGACGACCAGCCACACUGGGACUGAGACACGGCCCAGACUCCUACGGGAGGCAGCAGUGGGGAAUUUUGGACAAUGGGCGCGAAGCCUGAUCCAGCAAUGCCG
RNAcentral lists this ribosomal RNA (370 nucleotides) under uncultured bacterium. RNAcentral's name for it is "bacterial SSU rRNA". It matches the Rfam family "Bacterial small subunit ribosomal RNA", at positions 30 to 399 of the family's 1533-position model. The record is from RNAcentral.